GAGCUGGGAUGAGCUGGGCUGAACUGGGCUGGGUUGAACAGAGCUGGGUUGAGCUGGGCUGGACUGGGCUGAGUUGA
RNAcentral lists this microRNA precursor (77 nucleotides) under Chlorocebus sabaeus (green monkey). RNAcentral describes it as "miRNA (ENSCSAG00000026188.1)". Lineage: Eukaryota; Metazoa; Chordata; Mammalia; Primates; Cercopithecidae. The record is from RNAcentral.